This is a long non-coding RNA of Trematomus bernacchii (emerald rockcod), 505 nucleotides long. RefSeq lists it as uncharacterized. The transcript has 3 exons. The record is from RefSeq and is a predicted model, not a curated record. NCBI's taxonomy places the organism in Eukaryota, Metazoa, Chordata, Actinopteri, Perciformes, Nototheniidae.
UACCAGGCUGGACAAGCUGUUAUGGCUGGUUCAAGACCAGCCUGGUCAGCUAAACCAGCAUAGACCAGCAUGGAUGUCAUGCUGGUCUAUGCUGGUUUUAGCUGGUAGUUAAGCUGGAUGCUGGUGAAGCUGGUAUUUAUGCUGGUCUACCAGCAGUCUUGCUGGCUAAACUGAAACAGACACAGACAGACAGAGAGGGCGGGGGACGGCGAGACGGCAGUGGUUGAAACAAAGCGGUAUGUUUUGACUGGCACUAACGGCACAACGGUCAAGGAGUGAAGAAGAUCAGUUGAGCGUUUCUGUGACUCCGCCCAGCGGCUGCUCUUCUGAGAGGCACCGCUCUGACAGCUCUGUCUACUGGGAAACGCGCUAAAAGUCCUUCUGGAGGCUUUGCAUUUGAACUCCUGUGACUGGUUGCGGUCUUGAAGGGAAUGACUUCCUGGCCUUCCUGACAUCCAGGAAAAUGUUUUAUUGGACAGUAGAGAUCUAAUGGAAACAGUGGAGA